ACAGGUACGUGGGCGGGCGGAUCGUGGUGGCUGCGCUUGCGAGGACCCUGAGGUAGAUUGGGUGGUUUCAACAGGAACGCAUCCACUGUCUGAGAGUUUAAACUUGAUUUUGUGAGGGGACGAACAGCGUGACAAUUAAAAGAAGAUCUGGGAAUCAUCCAAUGUGAUAAUUUAUGUGAAAUCUUUCUGCAAACUAUACAGUAUGAUAAAAAUAUAAGGUAGUUUCACUGGAAACAACAGAAGACUAGAAGCUGAUGUGACGUGGCAAUAUCAACCAGGAAUACCCAUCUCGAGUUCUGGAUAUGUGCUCUGAGAAGGUGCCCAUGUCACCGACCACACUGGAGGCCAAUGCAGAUACUGGGGGAAGGUUCCAUGGUAGCUAAGUGUGGACAAGCUAAUCACUGAAGUUCCCUGAUGCAGAGUUGAUAAUCUCUCUAGAGUUGGAUGAAAGACUGUGCUGCCUUGAAGCUCUGAGAGAUGCCAUGCCAAUUCAAGGCAGGGUCUUUAUUGUUGAAACUCUUGCGUAAUGACAUCUUUAUUCAGGUGAAAAUACAGGAUGAAUUUCAACUAUAUGAUAUUGUUUAUGUUCCUCAGACAUGUUAUUUGUCUUUACAAAGAUUGGUUUCAAUAAACUGUGUGACUGAUAUUAAAUAAACAUGGAAUUUUACACAUUCAUAAUA
RNAcentral lists this long non-coding RNA (680 nucleotides) under Homo sapiens (human). RNAcentral describes it as "non-protein coding TMEM161B-AS1:13". Lineage: Eukaryota; Metazoa; Chordata; Mammalia; Primates; Hominidae. The record is from RNAcentral.